GAUGAACGCUGGCGGCGUGCCUAAUACAUGCAAGUCGAACGAAACUUCUUUAUCACCGAGUGCUUGCACUCACCGAUAAAGAGUUGAGUGGCGAACGGGUGAGUAACACGUGGGCAACCUGCCCAAAAGGGGGGGAUAACACUUGGAAACAGGUGCUAAUACCGCAUAACCAUAGUUACCGCAUGGUAACUAUGUAAAAGGUGGCUAUACUACCGCUUUUGGAUGGGCCCGCGGCGCAUUAGCUAGUUGGUAGGGUAAAGGCUUACCAAGGCAAUGAUGCGUAGCCGAAUUGAGAGGUUGAUCGGCCACAUUGGGACUGAGACACGGCCCAAACUCCUACGGGAGGCAGCAGUAGGGAAUCUUCCACAAAGGGCGAAAGCCUGAUGGAGCAACGCCGCGUGGGUGAAGAAGGUCUUCGGAUCGUAAAACCCUGUUGUUAGAGAAGAAAGUGCGUGAGAGUAACUGUUCACGUUUCGACGGUAUCUAACCAGAAAGCCACGGCUAACUACGUG
This 512-nucleotide ribosomal RNA is filed under the name uncultured bacterium. RNAcentral's name for it is "partial 16S ribosomal RNA". It matches the Rfam family "Bacterial small subunit ribosomal RNA", at positions 28 to 507 of the family's 1533-position model. The record is from RNAcentral.